AGAUUGAACGCUGGCGGCAGGCCUAACACAUGCAAGUCGAGCGGUAGAGAGGUGCUUGCAUCUCUUGAGAGCGGCGGACGGGUGAGUAAUGCCUAGGAAUCUGCCUAGUGGUGGGGGAUAACGUUCGGAAACGGACGCUAAUACCGCAUACGUCCUACGGGAGAAAGCGGGGGACCUUCGGGCCUCGCGCCAUUAGAUGAGCCUAGGUCGGAUUAGCUAGUUGGUGAGGUAAUGGCUCACCAAGGCGACGAUCCGUAACUGGUCUGAGAGGAUGAUCAGUCACACUGGAACUGAGACACGGUCCAGACUCCGUACGGGAGCAGCAGUGGGGAAUA
Molecule: ribosomal RNA, 335 nt
Filed under: uncultured soil bacterium
Lineage: Bacteria
Description: bacterial SSU rRNA
Rfam family: Bacterial small subunit ribosomal RNA
Source: RNAcentral